Molecule: long non-coding RNA, 278 nt
Filed under: Elaeis guineensis (African oil palm)
Lineage: Eukaryota; Viridiplantae; Streptophyta; Magnoliopsida; Arecales; Arecaceae
Description: long non-coding RNA (EGUI_LNC002453)
Source: RNAcentral
AGCUACUAUAAAAAAGUUGUCGCAAAGCGCAGUAAGGACCCAAGCUCCAUCGGUAGCUCCAUUUCAGCAUAGCUGCUAGACCUAUGUGGAUGGGUCAGAACAAGCAUGUCGACACUCAAACGCAACUCAAGCUCCUCACCGACGGUCACGAUCGAUAGAAUCGGCUCCAUCCACUUUCCUCAACACCUUUAGACCUUGAGAAGAGAUAAUCGACGGCAACGAUCGCCAGAGCCCUCCAAGGAGGACUCCACCUCGAGCUUGCACUGGCACUACCCCGG